UCGUAAAGAACUGAUUCUUUCAACAAAACUGUUUCAACGUGUAUUGAAGAGAAAGUUGCGUAUAAUCUUAUUAUCAAAAGAAACGCGUAAUCGAAUGUGCCAGUGCAGUGAAGUUAGGUUAGAUGAAAUAAAAAUAAUAAGAUAAAGAUAAAAUUAAAUUUAUAGAAUGCUUACCACAAAAUGGUAGAUCUCCUUGCCAUUUCCCACGAACGUUGCAUGUUAAACUGCCACUGCUGAGCAAAUAAUAAUUAAAUGAAAUAAUCGAAAUUCUUUACUUUAUGAUAAAUAAUGCACAAUAAGAGAACGGAAGACGAACACGUAAAUACGUAAACAAAUCGUUAAUCAUACAAAUUAUAAAACGGAGAAAGUUUAUAAUGAUUAUUUAAGUAUGACGUUUAAUAUUCCACAAAGAACGGAUAUUUCUAGAGUCACUUACCCAAAUAAUUCGUAUCCGGCAUCACAAGUAUAUGUCGCCAAAGUGCCUGUUGCUAAGGAUUCAUCGGACAAUGACACCUUGGCAUUCAUUGG
Molecule: long non-coding RNA, 528 nt
Organism: Apis dorsata (giant honeybee)
Lineage: Eukaryota; Metazoa; Arthropoda; Insecta; Hymenoptera; Apidae
Exons: 2
Source: RefSeq, a predicted model, not a curated record